This 253-nucleotide ribosomal RNA is filed under the name uncultured bacterium. Its description in RNAcentral is "partial 16S ribosomal RNA". It matches the Rfam family "Bacterial small subunit ribosomal RNA", at positions 524 to 776 of the family's 1533-position model. The record is from RNAcentral.
UACAGGGGGUGCAAACGUUGCUCGGAAUUAUUGGGCGUAAAGCGCGCGUAGGCGGCCACUUAAGUCGGAUGUGAAAGCCCCUGGCUCAACUGGGGAAGUGCACCCGAAACUGAAUGGCUUGAAUGCAAAAGAGGGUCGCGGAAUUCCCGGUGUAGAGGUGAAAUUCGUAGAUAUCGGGAGGAACACCGGUGGCGAAGGCGGCCUUCUGGACAGUGACUGACGCUGAGACGCGAAAGCGUGGGGAGCAAACAGG